AUACCGGGCCUUUUUGGGCUUGGUAAUUGGAAUGAGGGAGAGUUAAACGGACCAUCGAGUAUCCAUUGGAGGGCAAGUCUGGUGCCAGCAGCUGCGGUAAUACCAGCUCCAAUAGCGUAUAUUAAAGUUGUUGCAGUUAAAAAGCUCGUAGUUGGACUUGUGUGCGCUGUCCGCGGGUGGCCUGCGCCCAAAAGGGCGUUUCGGUUCGGCCCCGGUGGCGCCUUGAAAUCUGCAGCUGGGGGGACGUUGGCCUUAACUGGUCGGCGACCGCACGCCGGCUGCUCGGUUACUGUGAGAAAAUUAGAGUGUUCAAGGCAGGCAUUGGGUGCAAUUGAAUACAUUAGCAUGGAAUAAUAAAAUAUGGCUCCUGCCGUAUUUUGUUGGUUUUGACUGGUGGGAGUAAUGAUUGAUAGGGACGGUUGGGGGUGCUAGUAUUGAGCGGCCAGAGGUGAAGUUCAUGGAUUCGCUCAAGACUAACUUAUGCGAAAGCAUUCACCAAGGACGUCCUCUUUAAUCAAGAACGAAAGUUGGGGGAUCGAAGACGAUCAGAUACCGUCGUAGUCUCAACCAUAAACUAUGUCGACUUGGGAUCGGCGGUAGUUUUUUCAUUAAGACACUGUCGGGACCACGGGAGAAAUCAAAGUGUCUGGACUCUGGGGGAAGUAUGGUCGCAAGGCUGAAACUUGAAGGAAUUGACGGAAGGGCACCACCAGGAGUGGAGCCUGCGGCUUAAUUUGACACAACACGGGGAAACUUACCAGGUCCAGAGAUGUAGAGGAUUGACAGAUUGAAGCUCUUUCUUGAUCACUUCGGUGGUGGUGCAUGGCCGUUCUUAGUUGGUGGAGUGAUUUGUCUGGUUAAUUCCGUUAACUAACGAGACCUCAGCCUGCUAGUGUAGUCGGCUGGAUUGCCUUUGGCGAUCCGUGAUUUCGACUUCUUAGAGGGACAAUCGACGCGCAGUCGAUGGAAGUUUGAGGCAAUAACAGGUCUGUGAUGCCCUUAGAUGUUCUGGGCCGCACGCGCGCUACACUGCUGGGCUCAGCGAGUUUUACUUGGCCGAGAGGCCCGGUUAAUCUUGUGAAAUCCCAGCGUGCUUGGGCUCGCCUCCUGCAACUGGAGGCGCCAACGAGGAAUUCCUAGUAGACGCAGGUCAUCAACCUGCAUCGAUUACGUCCCUGCCCUUUGUACACACCGCCCGUCGUUCCAUAAGAGUGAGGCAUCCGGCGAAUUCUCGGGAGAGCCUGGGCGUGGCCAGCAAUGGUCUGCUCGGGUUUGAACUUGCAUAAACUUGG
This 1292-nucleotide ribosomal RNA is filed under the name metagenome. RNAcentral's name for it is "SSU rRNA". It matches the Rfam family "Eukaryotic small subunit ribosomal RNA", at positions 483 to 1768 of the family's 1831-position model. The record is from RNAcentral.